CCUCUCUUCGGAGAGGGUCAUCCGCAAAAGCCAGAACGACACAGACACAGAGAGCAUCAACACGGCCCCUGCGAAAGGAUGACACGCACAAAUCGAGAAUGUGCACCUUUUUUG
This 114-nucleotide small nuclear RNA is filed under the name Bigelowiella natans CCMP2755. The record is from RNAcentral. Lineage: Eukaryota; Cercozoa; Chlorarachniophyceae.